GAAUGUUUUGGAGCGGGAACUCACUUACCUGACUGAGCUUCAUCAGAGGGAAACAUCAAACUUGAAAGAGGAGAUAAGCAGCACAAAGGAUAUCAUUGACUUUCGGUAUAAUGGCAGAGCACAGGAGUUUUCUGUGGCGUUGGACAAAUGCCAGAGCCAUCUCCUGAAGAUGGAGCUGCAGCAUCAGCAAGAGUUGGAUAUUGAGAGACACGAAGACCACACAGCACGUCUCAUCAUCGAAAAGCUGAUCAAAGCGCUGCUUGUUGUGAUGUCGACCAUCUUGGUGUUUGUGUGCACACUGAACCAAGUCAUCUUGUUUUUCAAGUCAUCCAGACACAUCCUCUAUGCUGGGCUCCUGGCUGUCUUCAUAUUUCUCCUCUUCAAGUACUGGAAUACCAGUACUCCAGUUAGCUGACUGGAGUCCAAUGAGACGCAAAAAAUAAACCCUUUUGAAGGCA
Long non-coding RNA from Poeciliopsis prolifica (blackstripe livebearer), 458 nucleotides. RefSeq lists it as uncharacterized. The record is from RefSeq and is a predicted model, not a curated record. The transcript is spliced from 2 exons. Lineage: Eukaryota; Metazoa; Chordata; Actinopteri; Cyprinodontiformes; Poeciliidae.